Molecule: ribosomal RNA, 1267 nt
Filed under: uncultured Coprinellus
Lineage: Eukaryota; Fungi; Basidiomycota; Agaricomycetes; Agaricales; Psathyrellaceae
Description: eukaryotic LSU rRNA
Rfam family: Eukaryotic large subunit ribosomal RNA (bases 620-1267)
Source: RNAcentral
UCAUUAACGAAUAACUAUGGUGUCUUGGUUGUAGCUGGCUCCUCGGAGCAUUGUGCACGCCCGCCAUUUUUAUCUUUCCACCUGUGCACCGACUGUAGGUGUCUGGAUAACCCUCGUCUUCCUCUCCGGAAGGCGGAUGCGAGGAUUGCCCGUGAGGGCUCUCCUCGAAUUUCCAGGCUCCUACGUCUUUUACACACCCCGACAGUAUGAUAUAGAAUGAUAGUCAAUGGGCUUUCACAGCCUAUAUAACACUAUACAACUUUCAGCAACGGAUCUCUUGGCUCUCGCAUCGAUGAAGAACGCAGCGAAAUGCGAUAAGUAAUGUGAAUUGCAGAAUUCAGUGAAUCAUCGAAUCUUUGAACGCACCUUGCGCUCCUUGGUAUUCCGAGGAGCAUGCCUGUUUGAGUGUCAUUAAAUUCUCAACCUCACCAGUUUUCUGAACUGCGUCGAGGCUUGGAUGUGGGGGUUUGUGCAGGCUGCCUCAGCGCGGUCUGCUCCCCUGAAAUGCAUUAGCGAGGUUCAUACUGAGCUUCCGUCUAUUGGUGUGAUAAUUAUCUACGCCGUGGACAGGGUUCAGACUCGCUUCUAACCGUCCCUCGGGACAAUACCCAUGACAAUUUGACCUCAAAUCAGGUAGGACUACCCGCUGAACUUAAGCAUAUCAAUAAGCGGAGGAAAAGAAACUAACAAGGAUUCCCCUAGUAACUGCGAGUGAAGCGGGAAAAGCUCAAAUUUAAAAUCUGGCGGUCUUUGGCCGUCCGAGUUGUAAUCUAGAGAAGUGUUACCCGCGUCGGACCGUGUACAAGUCUCCUGGAAUGGAGCGUCAUAGAGGGUGAGAAUCCCGUCUUUGACACGGACUACCGAGGCUUUGUGGUGCGCUCUCAAAGAGUCGAGUUGUUUGGGAAUGCAGCUCAAAAUGGGUGGUAAAUUCCAUCUAAAGCUAAAUAUUGGCGAGAGACCGAUAGCGAACAAGUACCGUGAGGGAAAGAUGAAAAGAACUUUGGAAAGAGAGUUAAACAGUACGUGAAAUUGCUGAAAGGGAAACGCUUGAAGUCAGUCGCGUCGUCCGGGAAUCAGCCUUCCUUCUGGUUGGUGUACUUCCUGGUCGACGGGCCAGCAUCAGUUUUGACCGGUGGAAAAAGUUCGAGGGAAGGUGGCACCUCCGGGUGUGUUAUAGCCCUCGUUCGUAUACAUCGGUUGGGACUGAGGAACUCAGCACGCCGCAAGGCCGGGAUUCGUCCACGUUCGUGCUUAGGAUGCUGGCAUA